RNAcentral lists this ribosomal RNA (292 nucleotides) under uncultured bacterium. RNAcentral's name for it is "partial 16S ribosomal RNA". It matches the Rfam family "Bacterial small subunit ribosomal RNA", at positions 505 to 796 of the family's 1533-position model. The record is from RNAcentral.
GUGCCAGCAGCCGCGGUAAUACGGAGGGUGCAAACGUUGCUCGGAAUCAUUGGGCGUAAAGCGCACGUAGGCGGUUCGUUAUGUCGGAUGUGAAAUCCCUCGGCUCAACCGAGGAAGGGCAUCCGAAACUGGCGUGCUUGAGUAUGGAAGAGGGUCUCGGAAUUCCCGGUGUAGAGGUGAAAUUCGUAGAUAUCGGGAGGAACACCAGUGGCGAAGGCGGAGACCUGGGCCAAUACUGACGCUGAGGUGCGAAAGCGUGGGGAGCAAACAGGAUUAGAAACCCUCGUAGUCC